CGGGCCUUCCUGGGGAAGCCGGGAUGAAGGGUGACCUUGGACCCCUGGGCACUCCUGGGGAGCAGGGCCUCAUUGGGCAACGGGGAGAGCCAGGCCUCGAGGGUGACAGUGGCCCCAUGGGACCUGAUGGGCUGAAGGGGGACAGGGGAGACCCAGGGCCUGAUGGAGAACAUGGCGAGAAAGGCCAGGAAGGGCUGAUGGGUGAGGACGGGCCCCCCGGCCCCCCUGGCGUCACUGGUGUCCGGGGUCCUGAAGGAAAAUCAGGGAAGCAAGGCGAGAAGGGCCGCACUGGAGCCAAGGUAGGUGUCCCCUUCUGACUUGAUAGGCCUGCGUCCC
Molecule: long non-coding RNA, 336 nt
Filed under: Pan troglodytes (chimpanzee)
Lineage: Eukaryota; Metazoa; Chordata; Mammalia; Primates; Hominidae
Description: long non-coding RNA NONPTRT017586
Source: RNAcentral